Molecule: unclassified non-coding RNA, 292 nt
Filed under: Hevea brasiliensis (rubber tree)
Lineage: Eukaryota; Viridiplantae; Streptophyta; Magnoliopsida; Malpighiales; Euphorbiaceae
Source: RNAcentral
UCUCAAGUUCAAAAACUUCAACAACAGUUGGAGGGAAAGCUUCUCUUCAGCCUAAACGGACACCUCUCUCCAAUGAGGAGAUUGAGGCAAUCUUGUUGGGAGGCUGCAUCUGAUCUUUUCAUGGAACUUCAGUAAGAGAGUUGGCAUUCUUUUCAUGAUUCUUAAUUUGAAAGUGAAACAUUAGAAGUUUUCUAAUUCAUUGGCUUUUGUCGGAACUUGCUGAGGGAUAAAUUCAUAAAUCCUCAACGUUAGACAACAAAAAGAUAAUGAGAAAUUAACUUACGUUGGGCAU